RNAcentral lists this ribosomal RNA (472 nucleotides) under uncultured bacterium. RNAcentral describes it as "bacterial SSU rRNA". It matches the Rfam family "Bacterial small subunit ribosomal RNA", at positions 356 to 826 of the family's 1533-position model. The record is from RNAcentral.
GAGGAAUAUUGGUCAAUGGGCGAGAGCCAGAACCAGCCAAGUCGCGUGAGGGAAGACGGAUCUAUGGUCUGUAAACCUCUUUUGUCAAGGAAGAAUAAACAAUACGUGUAUUGUGUUGCCAGUACUUGACGAAUAAGCAUCGGCUAACUCCGUGCCAGCAGCCGCGGUAACACGGGGGAUGCGAGCGUUAUCCGGAUUUAUUGGGUUUAAAGGGCGCGUAGGCGGGAUGACAAGUCAGCGGUAAAAGACUGCAGCUAAACUGUAGCACGCCGUUGAAACUGUCGUCCUUGAGACGAGACGAGGGAGGCGGAACAAGUGAAGUAGCGGUGAAAUGCAUAGAUAUCACUUGGAACCCCGAUAGCGAAGGCAGCUUCCCAGGCUCGAUCUGACGCUGAUGCGCGAGAGCGUGGGUAGCGAACAGGAUUAGAUACCCUGGUAGUCCACGCCGUAAACGAUGCUCACUGGAUCUUGG